CUGGCUCAGAACGAACGCUGGCGGCAGGCCUAACACAUGCAAGUCGAGCGAGACCUUCGGGUCUAGCGGCGGACGGGUGAGUAACGCGUGGGAACGUGCCCUUUGCUACGGAAUAGCCCCGGGAAACUGGGAGUAAUACCGUAUGUGCCCUUCGGGGGAAAGAUUUAUCGGCAAAGGAUCGGCCCGCGUUGGAUUAGGUAGUUGGUGGGGUAAUGGCCUACCAAGCCGACGAUCCAUAGCUGGUUUGAGAGG
Molecule: ribosomal RNA, 252 nt
Filed under: Rhodobacter capsulatus
Lineage: Bacteria; Pseudomonadati; Pseudomonadota; Alphaproteobacteria; Rhodobacterales
Description: partial 16S ribosomal RNA
Rfam family: Bacterial small subunit ribosomal RNA
Source: RNAcentral